UACGGGGGGAGCAAGCGUUGUUCGGAUUUACUGGGCGUAAAGGGCGCGUAGGCGGCGCAACAAGUCACUUGUGAAAUCUCCGGGCUUAACCCGGAGCGGUCAAGUGAUACUGUCGUGCUAGAGUGCAGAAGGGGCAACUGGAAUUCUCGGUGUAGCGGUGAAAUGCGUAGAUAUCGAGAGGAACACCUGCGGCGAAGGCGGGUUGCUGGGCUGACACUGACGCUGAGGCGCGAAAGCUAGGGGAGCGAACGGG
RNAcentral lists this ribosomal RNA (253 nucleotides) under uncultured bacterium. RNAcentral describes it as "partial 16S ribosomal RNA". It matches the Rfam family "Bacterial small subunit ribosomal RNA", at positions 524 to 776 of the family's 1533-position model. The record is from RNAcentral.